AUGUUAUGUGUGGGUUAAAACGGUUUGUGGAGCGCUGGAGACCCAGAUGAUCAUAGUCGAUGUCAAAUGCAGAAUCUAUAAUUACUGCUAUUGAAAACUAUAUGAAGAGAAAAGAGCAAGUCUGAAGUUCUCACACAGAUAUCUGUAGUACGUUAAACGAGUGGGUGGGAACUACAUUAACUAGCUCCUCGUCUCUAAAGUGCGGCAUGUCUCCAGGACAGGAGUCGACUGUUGCGCGCAGGGAAAAGUAGCCUCGUCUGGGGCGCAGGGAAUCUAUGGAGACUUGAAAGUCUGACUGAAGGACACGGAGAACGUCAGGUUCUUCUGUGUUGCCACAGGCAGGCAGGGCACCAGAUGACUGGUGUGUACUGGGAGUAGGGCUUUCAGUCGCUGCGCUGCAUUGGAGCACAAUUCACAGCCAUGCAGCAGGUGCUGGAUAACCUGAGAGACAUGCCU
Molecule: long non-coding RNA, 456 nt
Organism: Oncorhynchus gorbuscha (pink salmon)
Lineage: Eukaryota; Metazoa; Chordata; Actinopteri; Salmoniformes; Salmonidae
Exons: 3
Source: RefSeq, a predicted model, not a curated record